UUUAUUUGACGUUAGCGACAGAAGAAGCACCGGCUAACUCCGUGCCAGCAGCCGCGGUAAUACGGAGGGUGCGAGCGUUAAUCGGAAUUACUGGGCGUAAAGCGCAUGCAGGUGGUUUGUUAAGUCAGAUGUGAAAGCCCGGGGCUCAACCUCGGAAUAGCAUUUGAAACUGGCAGACUAGAGUACUGUAGAGGGGGGUAGAAUUUCAGGUGUAGCGGUGAAAUGCGUAGAGAUCUGAAGGAAUACCGGUGGCGAAGGCGGCCCCCUGGACAGAUACUGACACUCAGAUGCGAAAGCGUGGGGAGCAAACAGGAUUAGAUACCCUGGUAGUCCACGCCGUAAACGAUGUCUACUUGGAGGUUGUGGCCUUGAGCCGUGGCUUUCGGAGCUAACGCGUUAAGUAGACCGCCUGGGG
This 415-nucleotide ribosomal RNA is filed under the name Vibrio alginolyticus. RNAcentral describes it as "bacterial SSU rRNA". It matches the Rfam family "Bacterial small subunit ribosomal RNA", at positions 464 to 878 of the family's 1533-position model. The record is from RNAcentral. Lineage: Bacteria; Pseudomonadati; Pseudomonadota; Gammaproteobacteria; Vibrionales; Vibrionaceae.